This 1497-nucleotide ribosomal RNA is filed under the name Metarhizium anisopliae. RNAcentral describes it as "SSU rRNA". It matches the Rfam family "Eukaryotic small subunit ribosomal RNA", at positions 21 to 1545 of the family's 1831-position model. Lineage: Eukaryota; Fungi; Ascomycota; Sordariomycetes; Hypocreales; Clavicipitaceae. The record is from RNAcentral.
UAGUCAUUAGCUUGUCUCAAAGAUUAAGCCAUGCAUGUCUAAGUAUAAGCAAUUAUACGGCGAAACUGCGAAUGGCUCAUUAUAUAAGUUAUCGUCUAUUUGAUAGUACCUUACUACUUGGAUAACCGUGGUAAUUCUAGAGCUAAUACAUGCUAAAAAUCCCGACUUCGGAAGGGAUGUAUUUAUUAGAUACAAAACCAAUGCCCCUCGGGGCUCUCUGGUGAUUCAUGAUAACUCGUCGAAUCGCACGGCCUUGCGCCGGCGAUGGUUCAUUCAAAUUUCUUCCCUAUCAACUUUCGAUGUUUGGGUAGUGGCCAAACAUGGUGGCAACGGGUAACGGAGGGUUAGGGCUCGACCCCGGAGAAGGAGCCUGAGAAACGGCUACUACAUCCAAGGAAGGCAGCAGGCGCGCAAAUUACCCAAUCCCGAUACGGGGAGGUAGUGACAAUAAAUACUGAUACAGGGCUCUUUUGGGUCUUGUAAUUGGAAUGAGUACAAUUUAAAUCCCUUAACGAGGAACAAUUGGAGGGCAAGUCUGGUGCCAGCAGCCGCGGUAAUUCCAGCUCCAAUAGCGUAUAUUAAAGUUGUUGUGGUUAAAAAGCUCGUAGUUGAAUCUUGGGCCUGGCUGGCCGGUCCGCCUCACCGCGUGUACUGGUCCGGCCGGGUCUUUCACUCUGCGGAACCACAUGCCCUUCAGUGGGUGUGGCGGGGAAGCAGGACGUUUACUUUGAAAAAAUUAGAGUGCUCUAAGCAGGCCAAUGCUCGGAUACAUUAGCAUGGAAUAAUAAAAUAGGACGCGCGGUUCUAUUUUGUUGGUUUCUAGGACCGCCGUAAUGAUGAAUAGGGACAGUCGGGGGCAUCAGUAUUCAGUUGUCAGAGGUGAAAUUCUUGGAUCUACUGAAGACUAACUACUGCGAAAGCAUUUGCCAAGGAUGUUUUCAUUAAUCAGGAACGAAAGUUAGGGGAUCGAAGACGAUCAGAUACCGUCGUAGUCUUAACCAUAAACUAUGCCGACUAGGGAUCGGACGAUGUUAUUUAGUUGACUCGUUCGGCACCUUACGAGAAAUCAAAGUGCUUGGGCUCCAGGGGGAGUAUGGUCGCAAGGCUGAAACUUAAAGAAAUUGACGGAAGGGCACCACCAGGGGUGGAGCCUGCGGCUUAAUUUGACUCAACACGGGGAAACUCACCAGGUCCAGACACAAUGAGGAUUGACAGAUUGAGAGCUCUUUCUUGAUUUUGUGGGUGGUGGUGCAUGGCCGUUCUUAGUUGGUGGAGUGAUUUGUCUGCUUAAUUGCGAUAACGAACGAGACCUUAACCUGCUAAAUAGUCAGUAUUGCUAUGGCAGUAUGCGGGCUUCUUAGAGGGACUAUCGGCUCAAGCCGAUGGAAGUUUGAGGCAAUAACAGGUUGACCUACACAGGCCUGUAACAGUGGGCCUCAAUUGAAAAAAAAUAUAACCGCUAGUCCAGUAACUUUACCUCCGUAGGUGAACCUGCGG